This 312-nucleotide ribosomal RNA is filed under the name Triticum aestivum (bread wheat). RNAcentral describes it as "partial small subunit ribosomal RNA". Lineage: Eukaryota; Viridiplantae; Streptophyta; Magnoliopsida; Poales; Poaceae. The record is from RNAcentral.
AUGAUCAUAGGUGAAUUCAAUGAAAUUCUUGUUGCAAGUGAGAAGGAAGGAGGUAACAUGAGGCCACCAUAGUAUAUGCAAAAUUUCAAAGAUUGUCUAGAAGAAUGUAGCCUACAAGAAAUAAUGUAUGUGGGAGAUCCCUUCACCUAGAGUCGAGGUAUGAUCAAAGAACGAUUGGACCGGGCAGUAUGCAAUGAAGCAUGGUCAGAUCAAUUCCAAUUUGUGGCGAUAGUACAUGAACAUCACAUUCACUCGGAUCAUAUCCCCCCUUUGCUAGAGAUUAAAUAUUUUGAAUCAGCCAUGACACAAUAG